GAUAGAGGAAGGGGAGAAAAUAACGUAAAUUUUGAAUACAUUUAUAAAAAUAUACAUGGAGUUGCCGUUCUGUUAAAGAGCAUAUCCUGUUUCAAAAGAAGCAGGGGUGAUUUCCAUCGAUUUGUUGACGUAGACGAAGAGGCAUCUCACGGUAUGACUUCUGAAGAGAUAGGUCAUGUCAAGAAGAUGAGAUUGCUUAUCCUGUCAAGACAGUUACAUGUUCUUAUGUCACUUUACAAGACCAAGACGAAGGACAAAUCAUACAGAUAACAUCACGUUGUUUAAUAUCGAAAAGGUUUUAUGUCAAACAACAUCUCUUGAUGUGGUUAAAGGGAAGUGAAACCCAAUUUCUUCAACACUGUGAUGUGCCUAUCACUUCCAAUGAUUUACUGUAAAAACCAGUGUCCUGAUAAUAACUAAGUAUAAAUGCUGAGUAGAUUGAACUGAUCUACAGCAAAAAACCUGUCUAAAACGGAACCUGAAUGAAUAGAAACCUGUCAAAAGCGGAAAAAUAUUAUGUACUGUGUUGAACAGUUAAUGAAGUUCAUUUAUACAAAUAUUUAUUAUGAAAAUGAAG
Molecule: long non-coding RNA, 577 nt
Organism: Centruroides sculpturatus (bark scorpion)
Lineage: Eukaryota; Metazoa; Arthropoda; Arachnida; Scorpiones; Buthidae
Exons: 3
Source: RefSeq, a predicted model, not a curated record